RNAcentral lists this ribosomal RNA (423 nucleotides) under uncultured bacterium. RNAcentral describes it as "bacterial SSU rRNA". It matches the Rfam family "Bacterial small subunit ribosomal RNA", at positions 207 to 622 of the family's 1533-position model. The record is from RNAcentral.
AAGACCUUGCACUUUUGGAGCGGCCGAUGUCUGAUUAGCUAGUUGGUGGGGUAAUGGCCUACCAAAGCUUCGAUCAGUAGCUGGUCUGAGAGGACGGCCAGCCACACUGGGACUGAGACACGGCCCAGACUCCUACGGGAGGCAGCAGUGGGGAAUUUUGGACAAUGGGCGCAAGCCUGAUCCAGCCAUGCCGCGUGAGUGAAGAAGGCCUUCGGGUUGUAAGGCUCUUUCAGCCGGGAAGAAAAGGUUGCGACUAAUAAUCGCAAUCCAUGACGGUACCGAAAGAAGAAGCACCGGCUAACUACGUGCCAGCAGCCGCGGUAAUACGUAGGGUGCGAGCGUUAAUCGGAAUUACUGGGCGUAAAGGGUGCGCAGGCGGUUUUGUAAGUCAGAUGUGAAAUCCCCGGGCUUAACCUGGGAACU